AUGACGGUUUCGUUAAACAUCAAUGUGAAGCGAAACUCGGGAUUAAUCAACUCUGGCGAUCUACUAUGUUCUUGCUACGAUCUACUUCUUCAAUCUUCACUUCAGGGUAACAUUGAUUCUAUGAAGCUCAUUAUGAAUGCGGCGAAGGACUUUAGUAAUGCUACGGGCCUUAAGAUGAGUAUGCCAAAGAGCAAAAUCUAUUUUGGUGGUGUGGAUGAUACAACCCAAGAGCUUAUUCAACAUAAAACUGGUUUUGAGAAUAAAUCAUUGGAGUAG
Non-coding RNA from Vicia faba (fava bean), 276 nucleotides. NCBI's taxonomy places the organism in Eukaryota, Viridiplantae, Streptophyta, Magnoliopsida, Fabales, Fabaceae. The record is from the annotation of a GenBank genome assembly.